RNAcentral lists this ribosomal RNA (468 nucleotides) under uncultured bacterium. Its description in RNAcentral is "partial 16S ribosomal RNA". It matches the Rfam family "Bacterial small subunit ribosomal RNA", at positions 28 to 507 of the family's 1533-position model. The record is from RNAcentral.
GACGAACGCUGGCGGCGUGCUUAACACAUGCAAGUCGAACGGAAAGGCCCUGCUUUUGUGGGGUGCUCGAGUGGCGAACGGGUGAGUAACACGUGAGUAACCUGCCCUUGACUUUGGGAUAACUUCAGGAAACUGGGGCUAAUACCGGAUAGGAGCUCCUGCUGCAUGGUGGGGGUUGGAAAGUUUCGGCGGUUGGGGAUGGACUCGCGGCUUAUCAGCUUGUUGGUGGGGUAGUGGCUUACCAAGGCUUUGACGGGUAGCCGGCCUGAGAGGGUGACCGGCCACAUUGGGACUGAGAGACGGCCCAGACGCCUACGGGAGGCAGCAGGGGGGAAUAUUGCACAAUGGGCGGAAGCCUGAUGCAGCAACGCCGCGUGCGGGAUGACGGCCUGCGGGGUGUAAACCGCUUUCGCCUGUGACGAAGCGGGAGUGACGGUAAUGGGUAAAGAAGCACCGGCUAACUACGUG